This is a non-coding RNA of Pelobates cultripes (western spadefoot toad), 196 nucleotides long. Lineage: Eukaryota; Metazoa; Chordata; Amphibia; Anura; Pelobatidae. The record is from the annotation of a GenBank genome assembly.
CACCAAGGCUAAAUAGGGCCCUGGGAUGAGGCACCUGUGACAGGGAGGGGUGCAAAACCAAGGAGUUGGCUAGACUCCCAAAUAUAUAUAAAACAAGAGGGGGUUGGCUGCACUCACCUUAACUAGCCAACUCCUUGGUUUUGCACCCCUCCCUGUCACAGGUGCCUCAUCCCAGGGCCCUAUUUAGCCUUGUACU